UCUAUGUUGCCUUCAUAUGCCAGUCACCAAAACUUAGCUGUUACAUUGCGGAGGAAACGGAAACUUGUUGCAUUUAAUAUGGUACCCUGGCACAAGGAAAUUAAUAAUGACCAGUUGUGGCCCCAAGAUAUCAGCACUGCUGAGUUAUCAUGGGCACAAGCUGCAAACAAAAGAGAAGAAGAGGUGAUUUCUGAGGCUGAAAUUGUAGAAGAGUUGCACCCAGUGAUUCAAGCAAAAAGACGGUUGAUUUGUUGUACGCAAUUUAUGCAACAAAUCUUUCGACCUGCACCAUCAGUUAUUAUUGUAUGGA
Molecule: long non-coding RNA, 310 nt
Organism: Salvia splendens (bonfire salvia)
Lineage: Eukaryota; Viridiplantae; Streptophyta; Magnoliopsida; Lamiales; Lamiaceae
Exons: 3
Source: RefSeq, a predicted model, not a curated record